Molecule: non-coding RNA, 46 nt
Filed under: Trichobilharzia regenti
Lineage: Eukaryota; Metazoa; Platyhelminthes; Trematoda; Strigeidida; Schistosomatidae
Source: RNAcentral
AUCCAGAUGACGAGUCCCAAAAUAGGACGAAGUGCGCAUCCCGGAU